CCUACGGGAGGCAGCAGUUUCGAAUCAUUCACAAUGGGCGCAAGCCUGAUGGUGCGACGCCGCGUGAGGGAUGAAGGCCUUCGGGUUGUAAACCUCUGUCACCGGGGAAGAAACGCUUCAAGUUAACAGCUUGAAGCCUGACUUAACCCCGGAGAGGAAGCAGUGGCUAACUCUGUGCCAGCAGCCGCGGUAAUACAGAGACUGCAAGCGUUAUUCGGAUUCACUGGGCGUAAAGGGUGCGCAGGCGGUUGGGUGUGUCAGAUGUGAAAUCCCGAGGCUCAACCUCGGAACUGCGUCUGAAACUACUCGACUAGAGUACUGGAGAGGGUAACGGAAUUCACGGUGUAGCAGUGAAAUGCGUAGAUAUCGUGAGGAACACCAGAGGCGAAGGCGGUUAACCUGGACAGUUACUGACGCUCAGGCACGAAAGCAUGGGGAGCAAAAGGGAUUAGAUACCCCUGUAAGUCCAUGCCUAAACGGUGCACACUAGGUCUUGGCGGAUUCGACCCACUAGGGCCCAAGCUAAACGNGUUAACGUGUGCGCCUGNGAGUUACGUUCGCGAGAACGUAAACGAACAAGAGAGUUAGAGGCGNGAGAGNGCGAGACGACGACGAGGAGGAGG
Molecule: ribosomal RNA, 623 nt
Filed under: uncultured bacterium
Lineage: Bacteria
Description: bacterial SSU rRNA
Rfam family: Bacterial small subunit ribosomal RNA
Source: RNAcentral